This 492-nucleotide ribosomal RNA is filed under the name uncultured bacterium. Its description in RNAcentral is "partial 16S ribosomal RNA". It matches the Rfam family "Bacterial small subunit ribosomal RNA", at positions 29 to 507 of the family's 1533-position model. The record is from RNAcentral.
AGUGAACGCUGGCGGCAGGCCUAACACAUGCAAGUCGAACGGCCGCACCGUAAGAGCUUGCUCUUACGGGUGGCGAGUGGCGGACGGGUGAGGAAUACAUCGGAUUCUACUUUUUCGUGGGUGAUAACGUAGAGAAACUUCUGCUAAUACCGCAUAUGUCGUACGUGUGAAAGCAGGGGAUCUUCGGACCUUGCGCGUUUGAUUGAGCCGAUGUCGGAUUAGCUAGUUGGCGGGGUAAGGGCCUACCAAGGCGACGAUCCGUAGCUGGUCUGAGCGGAUGAUCAGCCACACUGGAACUGAGACACGGUCCAGACUCCUACGGGAGGCAGCAGUGGGGAAUAUUACGCAAUGGGCGAAAGCCUGAUCGAGCCAAACCGCGUGAGUGAAGAAGGACUUCGGGUUGGAAAACCCUGUUGUUGGGAAAGAAAAAAAGUAGGUUAAUCCCGGACGGUACUGACGGUACCCAAAGAAUAAGCACCGGCUAACUUCGUG